AGAAAGACACCCUUUUAGAUGAUCUAAAGAAUCUUGGUCCUGUCCUGUUUCGUAGCUCUAGUGAGUUAUUCGAGCAAGAAGAUCAUGAAGAUCGUUCUUCUCACUCCAGACCUUCUGACAGUUUAUCUGAGAUCACUAGCGCUCAUGCCCAAGUCUGUUCUUCAGCGUCGUCCACGGCACCAAAAUCCAUCAGAGUGAAACAGUGUCCAGAGUUGCUGUGGGACGCCAUGAGCCGCAUUCGCAAACACACCGCUCCUGAUUCAGAGAGUGAGGACGAAGAGGCUGAAUUCUGGAUUCGGUGGAAAACACAGAAGAUGAUUUGAUUAAUGUGAGUGAAAAGACUGGAAUUAAAGAAGAGGGAUGUGUGCUGGAGGAAAGAUCAGGUUACUCUGGGAAUAACUUAAAGGAUGGGAUUAAAGAGCCAUCAGAAGAAGAGAGACAUCUGGGUGAAAGGAAAGAUGGUGAUGAUGAUGAUGAUGAUGAUGAUGAUGAUGAUGAUGAUGAUGAUUCACUAUCGAGCAGCAGUGUGGACAGUCAGGACACAGUUAUAGAGGGUGAAGGUGAGCUGAACUUUCUGGAAACUGACGAAGAGGAGAAGAAGAACCAGGAAUCUGCUUUAUUCAACUGUGCUCGUGACAGAAACUCCACCAUGAGGCGGAAUAAAGACUCCAACUGUGUGGAAGAGCUUUAUUGUGAUGAGUCCAGGUCAGGUCCUCAGAGAUGUGUACUCUCCACAUGGGUCCUGCCAAUCUCCAGUGGGGUGUAGUUACUCUGCUGCCUCUUCCUGAAGUCCACCACCAGCUGCUUGGUUUUGUUGAUGUUGUUGGAGUGACCGUUACCCUGGGCCAGGCCGUGGUGCCCCAGUGAGGGACAAUGGUGUUGAAGGCUGAACUCUAGUCUAUAAACAGCAGCCUUACAUAAUUCCCUAAAUCUCCUGUUGUCCGUAUGGAUUGUAUCAUAACCGACUGAUUCCUUUUAUUUCUAUUAGUUUAUGUGUGUGUUGGU
Long non-coding RNA from Ictalurus punctatus (channel catfish), 1005 nucleotides. Lineage: Eukaryota; Metazoa; Chordata; Actinopteri; Siluriformes; Ictaluridae. The record is from Ensembl.